GUCUUUUUGAAUUUUAUUUAAAGUCUGACCUGCCCCCUGAGGAGUUUAAAGGCUGCAGUAUCCUGACUGUACAAAGGUAGCAUAAUCAUUAGUCUCUUAAUUAGAGGCUUGUAUGAAUGGUUUGACGAGGGAACAACUGUCUCAAUUUAAUUUUUUUGGAAAUUUAUUUUUAAGUUAGAAAGCUUAAAUUGUUUUAAAAGACGAGAAGACCCUAUAGAGUUUUAUAAAUUGCUUUAGUUAAUACUUUUUAGUAUAUUUGGGGUUAAUUAUUUCAUUUUAUUUUGUUGGGGUGAUAGAAAAAUUAAAUAAACUUUUUUUAUUUAAAACAAAAAUAUUUGAUUAUAUGAUCCGCUUAGGCGAUUAAAAGAUUAAAUUACCUUAGGGAUAACAGCGUAAUUUUUUUUGAGAGUUCUUAUUAAAAAAAAAGUUUGCGACCUCGAUGUUGGAUUAAAAUUGAUAUUUGGCGUAGAAGCUAAAUCAUUAGGUCUGUUCGACCUUUAAAAUUUUACGUGAUCUGAAUCCACACCGGAA
This 531-nucleotide ribosomal RNA is filed under the name Saprinus cyaneus. RNAcentral's name for it is "partial 16S ribosomal RNA". It matches the Rfam family "Bacterial large subunit ribosomal RNA", at positions 1819 to 2621 of the family's 2925-position model. The record is from RNAcentral. Lineage: Eukaryota; Metazoa; Arthropoda; Insecta; Coleoptera; Histeridae.